GGAAACUUGAAAACUUUUCUCUAUUAUUUGGGGGACGUACUUGUAUAUGGAUUUAAAAUAAUUAUGUUACCUUUUGGCCUCCCUAGUCAUCUGCAGUGGGUUUCAAACCUUUUUUUGAUUUUUCCCUUUAUUUUUUGGAUCGUCAAACAUAAAAUCUUCAUCGAUAUCAAAUUCCAUAUUUAAUUUUAAAUUAAUUGAUAGCAAAAGGGAUUUAAAUUUCAAACUAACACAUGAAACAUGAAAAAAUUCUCACAUAGUUAGGCGUAGGAAUGUUUUCACACCAAUUGAUUCUAUUGUAUGAUAUGAACUAUUUUUAGAGUUUGAAAUCGUAAUUUGUU
This 338-nucleotide long non-coding RNA is filed under the name Amborella trichopoda. RNAcentral's name for it is "long non-coding RNA (ATRI_LNC005444)". Lineage: Eukaryota; Viridiplantae; Streptophyta; Magnoliopsida; Amborellales; Amborellaceae. The record is from RNAcentral.